AGGCCUCAAGUGAUGUGUGACAACCCCCUGAUUUUUAAGCAUAAAAA
Molecule: ribosomal RNA, 47 nt
Filed under: Anopheles harrisoni
Lineage: Eukaryota; Metazoa; Arthropoda; Insecta; Diptera; Culicidae
Description: partial 28S ribosomal RNA
Source: RNAcentral